GGGCCGUUAGCUCAGUUGGCUAGAGCACCUGCAUGACGCGCAGGGGGUCGGGGGUUCAAAUCCCUCACGGCCCACAA
Molecule: transfer RNA, 77 nt
Filed under: marine actinobacterium MedAcidi-G1
Lineage: Bacteria; Bacillati; Actinomycetota; Actinomycetes
Also listed under: 1 other name
Description: tRNA-Val
Rfam family: tRNA
About the family: Transfer RNA (tRNA) molecules are approximately 80 nucleotides in length. Their secondary structure includes four short double-helical elements and three loops (D, anti-codon, and T loops).
Source: RNAcentral